Molecule: ribosomal RNA, 463 nt
Filed under: uncultured bacterium
Lineage: Bacteria
Description: bacterial SSU rRNA
Rfam family: Bacterial small subunit ribosomal RNA
Source: RNAcentral
AUUGAACGCUGGCGGCAUGCCUUACACAUGCAAGUCGAACGGCAGCACGGGAGCAAUCCUGGUGGCGAGUGGCGAACGGGUGAGUAAUAUAUCGGAACGUGCCCAGUCGUGGGGGAUAACGUAGCGAAAGCUACGCUAAUACCGCAUACGAUCUAUGGAUGAAAGCGGGGGAUCGCAAGACCUCGCGCGAUUGGAGCGGCCGAUAUCAGAUUAGGUAGUUGGUGAGGUAAAGGCUCACCAAGCCGACGAUCUGUAGCUGGUCUGAGAGGACGACCAGCCACACUGGGACUGAGACACGGCCCAGACUCCUACGGGAGGCAGCAGUGAGGAAUAUUGGACAAUGGGCGCAAGCCUGAUCCAGCCAUGCCGCGUGCAGGAUGACGUCCUAUGGAUUGUAAACUGCUUUUGUACAGGAAGAAACACCUCUACGUGUAGAGACUUAGACGGUACUGUAAGAAUAAGG